GCCAGCGUGGCGUAGUGGUUUGAGCGUUAGACUACGACUCUGGAGACAAGGGUUCGAUUCCCCGCUUCGGCC
Molecule: transfer RNA, 72 nt
Filed under: Phrynosoma platyrhinos (Desert horned lizard)
Lineage: Eukaryota; Metazoa; Chordata; Lepidosauria; Squamata; Phrynosomatidae
Description: tRNA-OTHER
Source: RNAcentral